AUGCUCCUUCACGGCCGGGUGGUCAUGAUGAUUAGCAGACCUGCACAAGUUUCGGCCAAGGAACCAUCAUCGGGCAGCAGGGUGUCCCCGGAGUUCUAUGCAACAACGGUCAUUGAACUCGUACCAUAUAACUGGAAUUACCGAUGCAAGCCGAAGAAGGAUUGGCCGGUGCUGCCGGCUCGCGUCAAGUUCGAUCCCACGGAUCAGGAGCUGAUCGAGCACCUUGAGGCCAAAGUGAGUGCUGACAGUGCGGGAUCUCACCCUCUCAUCGAUUUGUUUAUACCAACCAUCGACAGCGAGCACGGCAUAUGCUACACCCAUCCUGAGAAACUUCCAGGUAUCACAUUGAAUGGCCUAAGGAAGCAUUUCUUCCAAUGCAAUUCCAGGGCAUUCAAAAGGGGUACGUGGACGCGUCGCAAGAUACAGUCGGAGUGCGGCAUGCACGCGAUGUGGCACCAGACCGGCAAUACCUUGCUGGUGAUGGUCAACGGCUGGCAGACGGGCAGCAAAAAGGUUCUGGUGCUGCACACCAACAAGAACUUCGACCAGCAGAGGACCAACUGGGUGAUGCACUAG
This 576-nucleotide ribosomal RNA is filed under the name Triticum aestivum (bread wheat). RNAcentral describes it as "partial small subunit ribosomal RNA". Lineage: Eukaryota; Viridiplantae; Streptophyta; Magnoliopsida; Poales; Poaceae. The record is from RNAcentral.